RNAcentral lists this ribosomal RNA (483 nucleotides) under uncultured bacterium. RNAcentral describes it as "bacterial SSU rRNA". It matches the Rfam family "Bacterial small subunit ribosomal RNA", at positions 28 to 526 of the family's 1533-position model. The record is from RNAcentral.
GACGAACGCUGGCGGCGUGCCUAACACAUGCAAGUCGAGCGAUGAAGUUUUCUUCGGAAAACGGAUUAGCGGCGGACGGGUGAGUAACACGUGGGUAACCUGCCCUAUAGAGGGGGAUAGCCUUUCGAAAGGAAGAUUAAUACCCCAUAAAAUCUUAGUAUCGCAUGAUACAAAGAUCAAAGGAGUAAUCCGCUAUAGGAUGGACCCGCGGCGCAUUAGCUAGUUGGUGAGGUAACGGCUCACCAAGGCGACGAUGCGUAGCCGACCUGAGAGGGUGAUCGGCCACAUUGGGACUGAGACACGGCCCAGACUCCUACGGGAGGCAGCAGUGGGGAAUAUUGCACAAUGGGGGAAACCCUGGUGCAGCAACGCCGCGUGAGUGAUGACGGCCUUCGGGUUGUAAAGCUCUGUCUUCAGGGACGAUAAUGACGGUACCUGAGGAGGAAGCCACGGCUAACUACGUGCCAGCAGCCGCAGUAAAAC